GACGAAGGUGGCAAGCGUUGUUCGGAAUCACUGGGCUUAAAGGGCGCGUAGGCGGCUCAUCAAGCGUCUUGUGAAAUCCCCCGGCUCAACCGGGGAACUGCUGGGCGGACUGAUGAGCUUGAGGCAGGUAUGGGCGAGUGGAACUCUUGGUGGAGCGGUGGAAUGCGUAGAUAUCAAGAGGAACGCCAAUGGUGAAGACAGCUCGCUGGGCCUGACCUGACGCUGAGGCGCGAAAGCCAGGGGAG
RNAcentral lists this ribosomal RNA (245 nucleotides) under uncultured bacterium. RNAcentral describes it as "partial 16S ribosomal RNA". It matches the Rfam family "Bacterial small subunit ribosomal RNA", at positions 524 to 768 of the family's 1533-position model. The record is from RNAcentral.